This 213-nucleotide ribosomal RNA is filed under the name uncultured bacterium. RNAcentral's name for it is "partial 16S ribosomal RNA". It matches the Rfam family "Bacterial small subunit ribosomal RNA", at positions 524 to 735 of the family's 1533-position model. The record is from RNAcentral.
UACGUAGGGUGCGAGCGUUGUCCGGAAUUAUUGGGCGUAAAGAGCUUGUAGGCGGUUUGUCGCGUCUGCUGUGAAAAUCCGGGGCUCAACCCCGGACUUGCAGUGGGUACGGGCAGACUAGAGUGUGGUAGGGGAGACUGGAAUUCCUGGUGUAGCGGUGGAAUGCGCAGAUAUCAGGAGGAACGACCGGUGGCGAAGGCGGGUCUCUGGGCC